This 484-nucleotide ribosomal RNA is filed under the name uncultured bacterium. Its description in RNAcentral is "partial 16S ribosomal RNA". It matches the Rfam family "Bacterial small subunit ribosomal RNA", at positions 29 to 507 of the family's 1533-position model. The record is from RNAcentral.
AUUGAACGCUGGCGGAAUGCUUUACACAUGCAAGUCGAACGGCAGCACGGGGGCAGCCCUGGUGGCGAGUGGCGAACGGGUGAGUAAUACAUCGGAACGUGCCCGGUCGUGGGGGAUAACGUAGCGAAAGUUACGCUAAUACCGCAUACGAUCUGAGGAUGAAAGCGGGGGACCUUCGGGCCUCGCGCGAUCGGAGCGGCCGAUGUCAGAUUAGGUAGUUGGUGGGGUAAAGGCCUACCAAGCCGACGAUCUGUAGCUGGUCUGAGAGGACGACCAGCCACAUUGGCACUGAGGAACGGCCCAGACUCCGACGGGGGGCAGCAGUGGGGAAUUUUAGACAAUGGGGGAGAGCCUGAUCCAGCCAUUCCGCGUGAAGGCCGAAGGCGUUCGGGUUGUAGACUGCUUUUGUACGGAGCGAAGAGGCUCUGGCUAAUACCUGGGGAUAAUGACGGUACCGGAAGAAUAAGCACCGGCUAACUACGUG